CCCUAGCCCAGAUUGCAGCGGCAUCCUCUUGUUGUAGCGCUAGCGAAAACAAGAGAUAUAGCGAAAAGCUGGAAGAAGC
Non-coding RNA from Flavobacterium fryxellicola, 79 nucleotides. Lineage: Bacteria; Pseudomonadati; Bacteroidota; Flavobacteriia; Flavobacteriales; Flavobacteriaceae. The record is from Rfam.